GACGUAGGGCGCGAGCGUUGUCCGGAUUUAUUGGGCGUAAAGAGCUCGUAGGCGGCUUGUCGCGUCGUCCGUGAAAACUUGGGGCUCAACCCCAAGCCUGCGGUCGAUACGGGCAGGCUCGAGUUCGGUAGGGGAGACUGGAAUUCCUGGUGUAGCGGUGAAAUGCGCAGAUAUCAGGAGGAACACCGAUGGCGAAGGCAGGUCUCUGGGCCGAUACUGACGCUGAGGAGCGAAAGCGUGGGGAGCGAACAGG
This 253-nucleotide ribosomal RNA is filed under the name uncultured bacterium. Its description in RNAcentral is "partial 16S ribosomal RNA". It matches the Rfam family "Bacterial small subunit ribosomal RNA", at positions 524 to 776 of the family's 1533-position model. The record is from RNAcentral.